GUGAGGAAUAUUGCACAAUGGGCGAAAGCCUGAUGCAGCAACGCCGCGUGAGGGACGAAGGCCUUCGGGUUGUAAACCUCUUUUCUGAGAGACGAGACAAGGACGGUACCUCAGGAAUAAGUCUCGGCUAACUACGUGCCAGCAGCCGCGGUAAGACGUAGGAGGCGAGCGUUAUCCGGAUUUACUGGGCGUAAAGCGCACGCAGGCGGCUUCGUUAGUCGGAUGUGAAAGCUCCUGGCUUAACUGGGAGAGGCCAUUCGAUACUGCGAGGCUUGAGGUUGGGAGAGGGGUGUGGAAUUCCCGGUGUAGUGGUGGAAUGCGUAGAUAUCGGGAGGAACACCUGUGGCGAAAGCGGCACCCUGGCCCACACCUGACGCUGAGGUGCGAAAGCGUGGGUAGCAAACAGGAUUAGAUACCCCUGUAGUCC
This 427-nucleotide ribosomal RNA is filed under the name uncultured bacterium. RNAcentral's name for it is "bacterial SSU rRNA". It matches the Rfam family "Bacterial small subunit ribosomal RNA", at positions 354 to 796 of the family's 1533-position model. The record is from RNAcentral.